GUCUCUAUGGCCUAACUGGUUAGGGCGUUCGACUGUUAAUCGAAAGAUUCUCAGUUCGAUCCUGAGUAGGGACG
RNAcentral lists this transfer RNA (74 nucleotides) under Ascobolus immersus. RNAcentral's name for it is "tRNA-Asn". It matches the Rfam family "tRNA". From Rfam's summary of the family: Transfer RNA (tRNA) molecules are approximately 80 nucleotides in length. Their secondary structure includes four short double-helical elements and three loops (D, anti-codon, and T loops). The record is from RNAcentral. Lineage: Eukaryota; Fungi; Ascomycota; Pezizomycetes; Pezizales; Ascobolaceae.